AGCAGCCGCGGUAAUUCCAGCUCCAAUAGCGUAUAUUAAAGUUGUUGCAGUUAAAAAGCUCGUAGUUGAAUUUCGGGACCAAUUUGUUGGUCGUGCCUCGGUACGUACUGGUAUUAUUGGUUUCUCCCUUCUGAAGAACCUCGAUGCCAUUAAUUUGGUGUCGUGGGGAAUCAGGACUGUUACUUUGAAAAAAUUAGAGUGUUUAAAGCAAGCAUACGCUUGAAUACAUUAGCAUGGAAUAAUGAAAUAGGACGUUUGAUUCUAUUUUGUUGGUUUCUAGGAUCGACGUAAUGAUUAAUAGGGAUAGUUGGGGGCAUUAGUAUUCAAUUGUCAGAGGUGAAAUUCUUGGAUUUAUUGAAGACUAACUACUGCGAAAGCAUUUGCCAAGGAUGUUUCCAUUAAUCAAGAACGAAAGUUAGGGGAUCGAAGACGAUCAGAUACCGUCGUAGUCUUAACCAUAAACUAUGCCGACUAGGGAUCGGAUGAUGUUAAUUUUUUAAUGACUCAUUCGGCGCCUUAC
RNAcentral lists this ribosomal RNA (520 nucleotides) under uncultured Glomus. Its description in RNAcentral is "SSU rRNA". It matches the Rfam family "Eukaryotic small subunit ribosomal RNA", at positions 569 to 1091 of the family's 1831-position model. Lineage: Eukaryota; Fungi; Glomeromycota; Glomeromycetes; Glomerales; Glomeraceae. The record is from RNAcentral.